GCAGAGACUACUUCUCGUACCUUUUGCAUCAUGAUUCAGCAAGUAAACUCAAGCAAAGAGCACUCUAGUUUGCACCCCCGAAACUUGACGAGCUACUCCGAGACAGCCAAUUGUGGGCCAACCCGUCUCUGUGGCAAAAGAGUGGGAGGAUCUCCGAGUAGAGGCAAAAAACCUACCGAGCCAAGUUAUAGCUGGUUGCCCAAUAAAUGAAUACAAGUUCAGCCCUGCCUAGCCCGACUCACACCAGUUUUACAAGAGAAGACAAGGAGCUCGUCCGCAGGAGUUAAUCAGAGGAGGUACAGCUCCCCUGAUACAGGAUACAACCUUUUUAGGCGACAAAAGAAUAUUACCAAACAAGGCCUUGGGUCUCAGUGGGCCUGAAAGCAGCCAUCUGAUCUGAAAGCGUUAAAGCUCCGGCCAAGAAAAAGCCUUUUAUUUUAUCUCAAUAUCUGCUCCCCUAAACCUUAUUGGGCCUCUCCAUGCACCCAUGGAAGAGAUUAUGCUGGAACGAGUAACAAGAAGAAUGAACUUCUCCACGCACAAGUGUAAGUCAAAUUGGACCAACCAUCGACAAUCAACGAACCCAACAAAAGAGGGCCCUACACACCCGCUACCUCUAACCAAGAAAAUCGUGUUUCCCCGCAUCGUUACCCCGACACAGGAGUGCUAGAACAAGGAAAGACUUAAAGAAAAAAAAGGAACUCGGCAAACCCAGACCUCGCCUGUUUACCAAAAACAUCGCCUCUUGCACCCCAUAGUAUAAGAGGUCCCACCU
RNAcentral lists this ribosomal RNA (775 nucleotides) under Anchoviella balboae (Balboa anchovy). Its description in RNAcentral is "partial 16S ribosomal RNA". It matches the Rfam family "Bacterial large subunit ribosomal RNA", at positions 585 to 1860 of the family's 2925-position model. The record is from RNAcentral. Lineage: Eukaryota; Metazoa; Chordata; Actinopteri; Clupeiformes; Engraulidae.